CUUUCAGCAACGGAUCUCUCGGCUCUCGCAUCGAUGAAGAACGCAGCGAAAUGCGAUAAGUAAUGUGAAUUGCAGAAUUCAGUGAAUCAUCGAAUCUUUGAACGCACCUUGCGCCCUUUGGCUAUUCCGAAGGGCAUGCCUGUUUGAGUAUCAUG
Molecule: ribosomal RNA, 155 nt
Filed under: uncultured Tomentella
Lineage: Eukaryota; Fungi; Basidiomycota; Agaricomycetes; Thelephorales; Thelephoraceae
Description: 5.8S ribosomal RNA
Rfam family: 5.8S ribosomal RNA
About the family: 5.8S ribosomal RNA (5.8S rRNA) is a component of the large subunit of the eukaryotic ribosome. It is transcribed by RNA polymerase I as part of the 45S precursor that also contains 18S and 28S rRNA.
Source: RNAcentral